Small nucleolar RNA from Capsella rubella, 150 nucleotides. It matches the Rfam family "Small nucleolar RNA snoR144". The record is from Rfam. NCBI's taxonomy places the organism in Eukaryota, Viridiplantae, Streptophyta, Magnoliopsida, Brassicales, Brassicaceae.
UAGGCAACUUUUUGCCGAGUGAAUCGAACAUCGAUCUCUCUCUUUUUCCCAGUUGCCUAAAUCAUGUAAUGGCUUCAUUAGUGAGGAACUAUUUUGAUCGGUUACUUAAUCCGUUAUGUAACUGAUCUUUUCCUCUUUGCUGCCACAUUA